GCGAGAGGAGGGUUAGUUUCACAAAUAAAAUUUUCACAGGGUUAGUUUAGCAAAUAUGAAAUUUCACAGGGUUAUUUUCGAAAAAAGUCCGUUUAUUUGAGCUAAAAAGAUAUGGAUUUGGUUAUGGGUAUAGAAAAUAAAAAUCCGACAGAUAUCAAUACGGAUAUGAAUUUUGUAUUUACCCAAUUCGAAUCCGAACCCAAACCCGAAUAAAUAUGAAUUUUGCAUUUACCCAAUCCGGAUCCGAACACAAACCCGAAUAAAUUUUAUAUAUAUAUAUAGAGUGAGGCUACUAUGCUAUCGGAAGCACGGAGCCUUCCAUGCUUUCAGCUCAUUUUCGAUGUUGCGACUUUUGAAUCGUCGAUCGGCUCCGUUAAACUUGAUCUAGAGUAUUUGAAGUACCUAGAAAAUAAAUUUUAUGAUUUACGAUAUCAUUUGCCUAGUGAACAAAGGGGCUCAAAAUCGAUAUACAAUAUGUCCACGCUUUCUUCCGCAGCCGUCUUAGUCUCCAGUGCCAUCACAUUCACCACCUCCGCCAUCGCUAUGACCUGAAGCGUCGCCCACGCCUCUGGCUAAAUGAAAAGAGGAUAAUACAUCAAAAUUAGGAAUUAAAAAAAAAAAAAGUAAAUAGAUCCCACACCUUUUGCUAAAUGAAGGAGGUUGUAAUUUAUUAUAAGAAAUAAAAUAGGCUUUUAUUUUCAUGACAUGCAUAGGAGAGAAUGAGGCUUUUGCGUGAGUUUUUAUGAUUUACGAUUAUAUUAGGGUUAAAAUGAAUGGAUACAUUAAUUAGACGUUAUAUGCGGAGGGAAGGCAAAUGGUUGGACCUUUUGGAUGAGUUUCUAGAUUUACGGUUUAGAUAAAGUUAAAUUAGACGUUAUAUGUGGAGGGACGGCGAAAGGUUGGUUUCAUAAGAUAAAAGUCCAAGAGUAAAGAAUUUGAUAUUUAAUGUCACUAAGGGUUGUUAAUUUGAUAUUUAGAUAGAGGAAUUAGUUUCAUUUAUUUAUUUAUUUAUGAGGAUGAAGGGAUGAAGAAUGACUUGCCACGUGGCAAGAAAUAUUGUACUUUCAUUUAGGUUUAUAGAUGAUUAUUUCAAAUAACAGUUUCACGAAUUUCUAUGGGCUCGCAAUUUAAGUAUGAAUCGGUACAUUAAUUAAUUAAGUCAUCAACCAUUCAACAUUUAUUUUAAUUUGGACUUAACUUAGACUUAGGCUUCGUUUGGGAUUGCGGGGAGAUUGCGUUACGUGCGGUGAGAAAGUACGUUGGAAAAAUAUCAUGUUUGUUUCCGUACGUAAUAUUGCGUUCCGCAUAUCGUUACGAUAUAUUUUCUGCGGUCCCACCGGAGAACGCAGAAGCAUAUCCCUAUAUGCUUUUUCCUCAAUUCCAUUUUAUCUAAUAGCGUACAUUAAAUUAAUAGACCUCAAUACCAAACUAAGCUUUAUACUGUUAGUUCAAUUAAACAUCUUAAUAGACCUCAAUACCAAACUAAGCUUUAUACUGUUAGUUCAAUUAAACAUCUUAAUGGAGUUGCAUUUUACAGA
RNAcentral lists this long non-coding RNA (1538 nucleotides) under Ananas comosus (pineapple). Its description in RNAcentral is "long non-coding RNA (ACOM_LNC037328)". The record is from RNAcentral. Lineage: Eukaryota; Viridiplantae; Streptophyta; Magnoliopsida; Poales; Bromeliaceae.